GUUAACUUUAAAGCAGGACUUUCACUGUCAGAUAUGCAAAGAAAACAACAUGAAGUGGAGACAACCACCAACCAGGGCACACAGUUGGCUUUAGAUGAAGUUUCUUAUCAGUCAGGAUGUAGAUAUGGAUGCACUUCCUCGUAGCAACUUCAGACCUACAGAACUAUAAGUGGAGGAAACAACUAUCACUAUUGACCUUGAAACCAUUGACCUAAUUCAAUAUGGGAAGAUGCCACAUGUCACACAAAGCCGCAUCCCACACAAAUCCCUGUAGCAUAGAUAUCUAUGUCACGCCUAAAAAGGAAAUUUCACCAGAGGCAUAAAGGAUUACCAGGAUUGCAUGGAAGAUUCAGCACAGUAGUCCACACAGGACCAACACAUCGAAAACUGGUACUCAGUCGGCCUUAGAGAAAUUGUGUACUUUGCUUAAAAAUAUCCUGAAGUGAUUUUGGUUGCUCAUAAUGGGAGACAAUUUGAUUUUCAAGUUCUUGUCUCAGCUGUACAGGAUGAUUUUCAGCUGUGUUUCAUCUAAAGUGUAUUGUUUUACCAGUGUUAAGGAAACUGUUCAGUUAACAGUCACAUUAAAUAUAAGAUCUUGCUAUGACACUGUUUGGUAUCCGGUACAAUGCCUAUAGCUGACAGACAGACAAAUUUAUUAUGAAAAACUGGAAAGGCCUGCUAAGGGUUUACAUUUUAUGUUUAGCGGAAUUUCAAGCAAUGACUUGUACUCGUGAUAAAUUUGGUACCAAAAUGUUCAUUAUCUUAAGUAGAAAAUGACAAUUGUAAUUGGAAAUUUGAAUUGUGUUAUUUAACUCAAACUUAGGAAAGUUAAUAUGUUCAAAAUUGUUAAUAAUGUUUCAUUUGUUAAAAUGCUAUAUUAUAGCUUUAAGCCAUAAUGUCCUCUUUUUACACUCUGCCUAAAGAAACACUUCAUUUGUUCUUGUUUGCUAUGUAGCCAUUUCCUUGAUUAAAAAUACACUUGUGAAUCUUUGGACUUCUUGAACAAAUUAAUACUUUGUGACUAUUUUUUUAACUAUUUUAUUCUUGCUACAUGUACAUUUAAUAAAUAAUUGCAAAACUUUUACAUCUUACUUGGACAUAACUUUAAAAGGCCCUACCGCUUCGUUAACAAUAAGCAGUUCCCUGUAACUAAAAAAAACUCUGAAGUUCGCUUCUUAUUAACUACAUGAAGUGGGUACAGUAUAGGACUGAUGACAGUUUUAUUUCACAAAUUUCAGAACAAUACAUUAUGGUGGAUGUUUUUUUUGUAUUUAUUUACAUUUUUCUAUUAGAUGAUAGUUAAUUUAAAUUCAUAAUUGAACACUUUCGAAAGUGAAACUUUUUACUAUAAAGCAAUUCACAACUAAUAUUUUCUUUUAAGUAAAAUAAAACAAUAAAAGAAUAAGCAAUCCUUUAAAUAUGAAGUUAAGUAGUAUCUUUUAAGCUCAGCAAAAGUAUGAGCGAACAGAGAUGUCCCUUAUUUUCAACAUCUUGUACAGAAGUUUUGAUUUUAUCUGUGUAGAUUUUUGACAUACUGUACAAUUUAUUCAGGUGUAUGCAAGACAAUAUUUAUAAGGAAGUCUUGUGUUUUAAGCUACCUAAUAAGUCCUAAUUAUUAAUAUUAGAGAAAACUGUUGAUUUUUCAAAGGGCUUCCUGAUACUUAUGUAUAAGCUUAAGUACAAACAUAUAAGGGUUUACUCAUAUUUAUUAUUUUUAGUUCUUAAUAUCUGUGCAAGUUUUUAUUUCUAUUUCUGUCUGUUAUAAUUGGAUCUUAUGCCUGAAUAAAAUUGAAUUGAAUUGUGAUGCAAAUAGUGUAUUGUCUUUUUGUUGUGUCUAUGAUAAUUUCUUUAA
Mercenaria mercenaria is the source of this 1852-nucleotide long non-coding RNA. RefSeq lists it as uncharacterized. The record is from RefSeq and is a predicted model, not a curated record. NCBI's taxonomy places the organism in Eukaryota, Metazoa, Mollusca, Bivalvia, Venerida, Veneridae. The transcript is spliced from 3 exons.